RNAcentral lists this transfer RNA (67 nucleotides) under Marmota monax (woodchuck). Its description in RNAcentral is "tRNA.Ala". Lineage: Eukaryota; Metazoa; Chordata; Mammalia; Rodentia; Sciuridae. The record is from RNAcentral.
GGAUUGUGGCUCAGCGGUAGAGCGCUCGCCUAGCACGGGUGAGACCCGGGUUCGAUUCUCAGCACCA